GCAGUGGUGAUCAGAAGAAAAAGGAAAUUUAUAUUAGCGAAAAAAAAUUUUGGGGGUUAGUGGCACUUCCUUUAACAGUCUAAAUGAAGCUAAACGUACUCUCUAACCAUUGCAAUGAUUUUUUAAUUGUCCUGUACAUGUGUGAUGUCAACCUUCAAGUUUGUGCCGGGAUGAAACCUUAGUUAACGACAUGCAGUUGAAUGGUAGUAAGCAGGACGUUCUUGGUUGUUGUUAGAUGUUAUGCAAAUCCAAUACUGAAAGUUAGAAGAUUUCUUAUCACGGGGAGCGAAAACGUUUCUCAUUUGUCUUGAUUUCAGCUCGUUGCUCAUCCAUUCUUCAGAGGCGGUGACGUCCGCGGAUUAAAGAAAUUUAACCCUGGUCCCGUUCGUUUUAGUUCAAAUGUGAAGCAGCUCCUCAAACUAUGAAGGAAAGAUGGCGAAGAAGGACAGAGGAAACGGAAAAUGUCCACAAAGAAAUCGACAUCUGAUGAUGGUACAGUACCUACAAGAGAGGGAAGUCAAUCGAAAUCAAAAGGAAAACGAUUGUCAGUGGACAAAACUGUUCUUCCAGUAGUUCAGUUCCACCCCGUGGCAGCCGCCCCUCCUCCCAAAUAUCCACCCCCUCUCCCCAAGGAAGCCCCGCCACCUCCGCGGACAAAACGUGCAUCGGUAUCCAAACCUCUUCCGCCGAAACCGCCCAACAGUGCUGGUCGAGGAGCACUGUUGAGUCAGAUUCAAAAAGGCGCUAGGCUUAAACCAACCAAGACAAACGAUAGAAGUGCCCCACGGGUGUGAAUGAGAGGUCAAUGUCAGAUGACAGCGAGUUAGCUGUGUGGAGUUUGCUUCGUUGUGCAACGCAACUGUGACGAGUUUACUUUUUCUUGAAAUACGACUGUUUAUCUACAUGUACACGUAAAAUCUGCCAUAUUGAACAACAUGGCGGCAGCUGACGUGUUGGAAUUAAGAACAAAAUGAUUAUCUAGAUUAUAUCUGAAGAAUGAUCAUGGAAAAGGGAUUUUAAAUAUGAUAACAAACUUCCUCCAUGGAUGGCUCAUGUUGAAAAAUCGAGCAUGACUAAUCCGAGUUUGUGGUUUGUUAUCGUCUUAAUCUUAAGCCUGUUCUUCCUUUGUGGUGGGUUACUGUCUCAGUUAUUUUCUACUUUAAAUUGGUAGACUUGAAAUAAUAUAUACAUUUAGGUAAUGUUACGUGCUUUUGUCAUCAACUAUUGGUAACACGAGGCAGAGCAAGACGCAGUGCACGAAUCUUCAUUUCACUGUAGAGAUUAGGUACAGAGCUACAAAGAGUGAAGAAAACAUGGUGCAUGUGAAAAAUAGAUAGGAUUAAAACUUUGUCAUAACAGAGGAAAGUUUAAUUUAGUCUACAGAUAUUUCUCCGCUUUUUUAAACGAGCAUAUAAAAAGAGCUUUUUAUUCGCUGAAACACUCACUAUAUGAAUUGGAAUUUGAUACUAGCAAAGACAUAAUUAUAUUGCUGGCUGCAUUUUCAGUAGCGACGCUAAACUAAUUCAGAAUUUGUUCUGUACUUUACAAUGGGCCAAAGCAUGAUAAUUUAGAGUUGCGACAAAGAAACUUGAAGGUGAUUUUGUAAAAGACGAUACUUGUAGAAACAAUGCACUGAAGCUUGAAAAAGAAGAGGAGAGAUGAAGAUUAGUUUUUAUAGAAGAUAUUUAUUUAGAUAGGUCGAAGCUAUAGCGCUAUUUAAUUAAGUGAAACAAGCAAAAUUAACUUCAAAAAAUAGAAAUAUAUUUUUUCAAUAUAAUAUGAAAAAUAUGGCAUGUCAGUGUCAAAUGAGUAAUAUAAACUGCUCAAUAUGCGUUAGGUUUGAACUUCUCUGUAAUAUUAGCAUUAGUUCUUUAAUAUUACUUCAAAAAGAUUGCCUGAUAAAUUCACGCUUCUUAGGAUAGAGUGCGCAAUGCAACAGACUCUUAAUAAAACAAAAUUACAAAUCGUUCGCCAGUGUGUCAAUUUGAAGAAGUUAUUCCACGCUCUUUACGCAUGUCAAUCGUACUUCGUGCUUAAUUUUCGUUUUAUAAAAUUAUAGAAAAUUGUUAUUUUUGUAAUUGAUCUGUUCGUGAAAUCUUUAGUUACCAGUUUCCAAACUCGAGUGGAUGCCCUGGCCCUCUUCACUUUUGCGGACUAUCUUGGCUAAAUUAUGAAAACUUAAAACAGGUUUUGAGUUAAACAUACCGUCAAGAACCGACUAGUUUUAAGCAUGACACAGCUAGCCCCAAAUUACUCACCUGAAGCCAUGAGGCACGAAGACACGGAAAAUGGAUAAUCUGUGUUACCAAAUUCACACCGAGAGGAGUGGUGCCGGAGGGCUUUUAACGGUCGCCGCAACUCUUUGAAUCUAUAACUUUUAAGCCCUGUAAACCUACAAAAUAACCUUACCAUCAAAUUGAGUAAAACUUUCCGAAAAUCGAAUUAACCGGGUUGUUUCCAAUUAAUCAAUUAUAGUUAUGAAUGUCAAGAAUUUUCAUUUCCGUGAAAUUUUAACCGCACGAUAUUGAAAGCUAGCUUUUGGCGAAAUCGAAACUUCGUGAAAACAGUAGUGGGAGAUUUAAACGUCAUGUAGAUUAAAACGUGAAUGGGGUAGAUCUUGUUCACAAAUUCUGGUGAAUCCUUUUUAAAGUAAUUAUUGACGAUGAAUCCGCUUUUUAGCAUGGCCAUGAGAAAUAGGUUUUAUAUAUUUUGACUUUAUUACUCGAUUUUAAUCUCCAUAAGUACGUAUUUUCAACUAAACGCCCGCGGACUUUUUCAAAGCUAUAAUAAAAUCAAUCUGUAGACUGUAGUACACGUAAUAUCAAGGUGUUGAAAUGAAAGCUGCGCUGUUUGUACCGAAAAUAGAAAGUUAGAAGAAUCUUUUUGCAUAAUGUGCUUACGGCUGCGUUGUCGUUAGAAUCGUCAAAGAGCUUUACCGGAACCUAGCUAGUCAGUAUUUCCAGUAUGUUAAAAGCAACAUGUACGAACACAAUAGUGCUUUCAUGCCGUCAGUCAGAUUCUCACAUCUUUUUUAAUUGUUCAUUUCGUCUUAGCCACUCCUAUUCAAAUCUGAUGUUCACGCCAAAUUCAAAAUGACAGGAUCUUCGUCAAAUCGCUUAUCUCUGAAUCCCCAGAUGUACUCAUUCAUUAUCCAAUGUCGCACAAAUGUAAAUAUCUAGUUGGCAUAUGAAUAUUCGAAUUUGGAAAUAUCCGGAAACACAACUGCCUCAGGUGUCUUAAGCGUCGAGCACUCGGUAACAUUUCGAAAAACUGAGCUUCGAGAAAGGUGUUUUGAAAAGGGUUCAAUUUGAGGGUCGGCUUUUGAGGCAGAGGAAGCUGCCAGCUGUCACACACUUGUUUGGGAUCGGCGUUGAAAGUUGUUUUUCUUCAUGUCCUUGGUGAACAAGAAACGCUAAGAGUUUUCUUUUAAUGGCAUCCAUACGAGCUAGACUCAAACAAAAUCAUCUUGAAAUACUGAUUUUAAUCGUUUUAAGUCAACUCGUUACCCUGUUCUCUUCGACUCCUUCCACAACUUCGUCACCUCAAGCCACAAAAUGUGCGGAAAUUUUAUCCAAAAACUUGACUGACGCUGUUACUACCACCCGCCAAAGGAAACAGAAUUUCAGCACAUUGGAGAUUUCGCAAACAUCCUCUAGUGCGACAGUAAUGUGUCCAUCAAUUGCGGUGGAAAAUCGCAGAAAUGCGAACGACACGUACUUGAAGAAACAUGGAUGCUCCCGUGAACGACAAGAAGACUGUCCAAGAUAUGUCGAUAAAUAUUCCUCAUUUUAUCUUAAGAUUGGUGGCUGGUUAAUGCUGGGCAUCGUUUUGGCGGGAAUCACAGCUCUAGGCGUCACGCACUACCUAGGGAUGAAGAACAUGCGUCGUCCAAGGAGAAGACAACUGUCACGUAUUCUGUGGGUUGAAGCUCUCACAAAGUCGAAAUUGGCCAGAUUCGUGUGACCAAACUGGUGUUUAGCAAAGCGGAAAAAGUGGAAAAACCUUAAAAAGCUUAUCGACGUGGCAGAGAUCGCAAGUUUUCUGAAAACCAAACAUCAAAAACGUGCUAAUGGCGAUUUAAUCUGAAAAAAAGACACAUUACGAAUCUCAACGAGCAAAAACACUGUCCCUCAAUUUGUAUUGAUUUUAGGUCUGAACGUGACUCAGAUUGAAAUAAAAUAUUAUAAAGCGAG
Orbicella faveolata is the source of this 4193-nucleotide long non-coding RNA. Lineage: Eukaryota; Metazoa; Cnidaria; Anthozoa; Scleractinia; Merulinidae. The record is from RefSeq and is a predicted model, not a curated record.